AUAGCAAGUCGAGCGGACAGAAGGGAGCUUGCUCCCGGAUGUUAGCGGCGGACGGGUGAGUAACACGUGGGUAACCUGCCUGUAAGACUGGGAUAACUCCGGGAAACCGGAGCUAAUACCGGAUAGUUCCUUGAACCGCAUGGUUCAAGGAUGAAAGACGGUUUCGGCUGUCACUUACAGAUGGACCCGCGGCGCAUUAGCUAGUUGGUGGGGUAAUGGCUCACCAAGGCGACGAUGCGUAGCCGACCUGAGAGGGUGAUCGGCCACACUGGGACUGAGACACGGCCCAGACUCCUACGGGAGGCAGCAGUAGGGAAUCUUCCGCAAUGGACGAAAGUCUGACGGAGCAACGCCGCGUGAGUGAUGAAGGUUUUCGGAUCGUAAAGCUCUGUUGUUAGGGAAGAACAAGUGCGAGAGUAACUGCUCGCACCUUGACGGUACCUAACCAGAAAGCCACGGCUAACUACGUGCCAGCAGCCGCGGUAAUACGUAGGUGGCAAGCGUUGUCCGGAAUUAUUGGGCGUAAAGGGCUCGCAGGCGGUUUCUUAAGUCUGAUGUGAAAGCCCCCGGCUCAACCGGGGAGGGUCAUUGGAAACUGGGAAACUUGAGUGCAGAAGAGGAGAGUGGAAUUCCACGUGUAGCGGUGAAAUGCGUAGAGAUGUGGAGGAACACCAGUGGCGAAGGCGACUCUCUGGUCUGUAACUGACGCUGAGGAGCGAAAGCGUGGGGAGCGAACAGGAUUAGAUACCCUGGUAGUCCACGCCGUAAACGAUGAGUGCUAAGUGUUAGGGGGUUUCCGCCCCUUAGUGCUGCAGCUAACGCAUUAAGCACUCC
RNAcentral lists this ribosomal RNA (834 nucleotides) under Bacillus pumilus. RNAcentral describes it as "bacterial SSU rRNA". It matches the Rfam family "Bacterial small subunit ribosomal RNA", at positions 55 to 870 of the family's 1533-position model. Lineage: Bacteria; Bacillati; Bacillota; Bacilli; Caryophanales; Bacillaceae. The record is from RNAcentral.